UACGGAGGAUGCAAGCGUUACCCGGAAUGAUUGGGCGUAAAGCGUCCGCAGGUGGCUGUGUAAGUCUGCUGUUAAAGAGUGAGGCUCAACCUCAUAAAGGCAGUGGAAACUACACGGCUAGAGUGCGUUCGGGGCAGAGGGAAUUCCUGGUGUAGCGGUGAAAUGCGUAGAGAUCAGGAAGAACACCGGUGGCGAAAGCGCUCUGCUAGGCCGCAACUGACACUGAGGGACGAAAGCUAGGGGAGCGAAUGGG
RNAcentral lists this ribosomal RNA (253 nucleotides) under uncultured bacterium. Its description in RNAcentral is "partial 16S ribosomal RNA". It matches the Rfam family "Bacterial small subunit ribosomal RNA", at positions 524 to 776 of the family's 1533-position model. The record is from RNAcentral.